AUAGUUGAAGCUGCCAGCAUGAUCUGGAGCUUUUCUAUCCAGGAGAGACUAGAUCAUGUGGCAGUUUCACCUGUUG
Molecule: microRNA precursor, 76 nt
Filed under: Ricinus communis (castor bean)
Lineage: Eukaryota; Viridiplantae; Streptophyta; Magnoliopsida; Malpighiales; Euphorbiaceae
Description: miR167c stem-loop (rco-MIR167c)
Gene: rco-MIR167c
Source: miRBase by way of RNAcentral